This 253-nucleotide ribosomal RNA is filed under the name uncultured bacterium. RNAcentral describes it as "partial 16S ribosomal RNA". It matches the Rfam family "Bacterial small subunit ribosomal RNA", at positions 524 to 776 of the family's 1533-position model. The record is from RNAcentral.
UACGGAGGGUGCAAACGUUGCUCGGAAUCAUUGGGCGUAAAGCGCACGUAGGUGGCUUGUUAAGUCGGGUGUGAAAUCCCUGGGCUCAACCCAGGAAGUGCACUCGAAACUGGCGAGCUUGAGUACUGAAGAGGGUCGCGGAAUUCCCGGUGUGGAGGUGAAAUUCGUAGAUAUCUGGAGGAACACCGGUGGCGAAGGCGGCGUUCUGGACUGCAACUGACACUGAGGAACGAAAGCCAGGGGAGCAAACGGG